GACGAACCACCCAAACGUUAUUCGGAAUUACUGGGCUUAAAGGGUGCGUAGGCUGCGCUGUAAGUCGGGUGUGAAAUCCCUCAGCUUAACUGAGGAAUUGCGCCCGAUACUGCAGUGCUUGAGGGAGAUAGGGGUCAGCGGAACUGAUGGUGGAGCGGUGAAAUGUGUUGAUAUCAUCAGGAACACCGGUGGCGAAAGCGGCUGACUGGAUCUCUUCUGACGCUGAGGCACGAAAGCUAGGGUAGCGAACGGG
This 253-nucleotide ribosomal RNA is filed under the name uncultured bacterium. RNAcentral describes it as "partial 16S ribosomal RNA". It matches the Rfam family "Bacterial small subunit ribosomal RNA", at positions 524 to 776 of the family's 1533-position model. The record is from RNAcentral.